This 775-nucleotide ribosomal RNA is filed under the name uncultured Neocallimastigales. RNAcentral describes it as "partial large subunit ribosomal RNA". It matches the Rfam family "Eukaryotic large subunit ribosomal RNA", at positions 24 to 643 of the family's 3401-position model. The record is from RNAcentral. Lineage: Eukaryota; Fungi; Neocallimastigomycota; Neocallimastigomycetes; Neocallimastigales.
UAUGUGAUCGUCUCUCGCAUAUCAAUAAGCGGAGGAAAAGAAACUAACAAGGAUUCCCCUAGUAACGGCGAGUGAAGCGGGAAGAGCUCAAAUUUGAAAUCUUAAAGGGUUUCCCUUUACGAAUUGUAGUUUAAAGAAGUGUUUUCUGUUGAGGUUUUGGUAAAAGUUCUUUGGAAUAGGACAUCAUAGAGGGUGAGAAUCCCGUAUUUGACCUUUACUUUCAACUUUGUGAUACACUUUCAAAGAGUCGGAUUGUUUGGGAAUGCAGUCCAAAAUGGGUGGUAAAUUUCAUCUAAAGCUAAAUAUUGGCGAGAGACCGAUAGCGAACAAGUACCGUGAGGGAAAGAUGAAAAGAACUUUGAAAAGAGAGUUAAACAGUACGUGAAAUUGUCAAAAGGGAAGCGUUUGACACCAGUGUUGUUUUUCUGAAAAUCAAUUAAAGAACUGUUUAUGCUAAGCUUGUUUAGACUUUAUCAGCUAACUGUUUAGUUUUGAGCUUUUCUUUAAUGCACUUUUCAGUUAACAAGUCAACAUCAAUUUCUUUUGCUGUAAAAAAGCUUGAGGAAGGUGGCUUGAGAUUCGUCUUAAGUGUUUAUAGCCUCUUGCCUAUGCAGUCGGAGAGAUUGAGGUCUGCAGCGUAGAUCCUUCGGGGCUAAAUGCAUUUGUGCUAAGUUAUAACAUUUUAUAGACAACUUGUUGACUAUGAUUUGUCUUGUAGCUUACUCGCUUAUGUUAUUUUACCUACGCUUAGGAUGUUGACACACGCGCGUGCUCG